This is a long non-coding RNA of Mus pahari (shrew mouse), 727 nucleotides long. RefSeq lists it as uncharacterized. The transcript has 4 exons. NCBI's taxonomy places the organism in Eukaryota, Metazoa, Chordata, Mammalia, Rodentia, Muridae. The record is from RefSeq and is a predicted model, not a curated record.
AAUAGUUAGAGAUCUUGCUUGUGAGCUCAUAAUAAAGACCCUAUGUGUUUGCAUAGGAAUUGGCUCCUCAGUGGUCUUAGGGGUCCCUGUCACUUGGGCAUAACAGCAAGCAGAUAAUGGCAGACUGCCUGUUUUAAUUUCAGAGGAAAGUUUCGGUGUACCUUUAAGAGUCAUUUUGUGUGAUAUUCUCAGAUUAAGAAUCCAUAACCCCUUGGCCUCAUUAAGGACAACAAUGACAACCAGUCUGAGAAAUCUAUUGGUGACAACACAAUUACUUCCAGUCCGCAUUGCACAGGACUGGGCCCCUUCCUACUCUCCAGCAGCUCAUUGAUGUGGAAGAUUCUGAGAUGGACAUUCAAAGCCCAGGAUCUGGACCUGAGAGAACUUUCCAAAUGGGACCUGAACUUGCUCUGCCAUAUGCUCUCCAGUGUAAAGCUGCUAAGAAUCACUCUGCACCUGUCUAUUGUCAACACCAGCGUGUGCAAAUGGAGUCCUGAGUUCAUAACCAGAGGAAUGCUAAUUAUGUCUUCUCUAGAAAACUAUGAUGUGACUUAUCUGGAGUCAUUUUAUUCUCACUGACGUCAGUAUAUUUGGAGCAGGAAAUGAAAGCACAGAAUUUAAUACACAUAAAACAGAUUUCUCCCAGAUAAUCCUCACUCUCUCUGCAUCUUUUCUCUUGGUGAGUAAGUUAGCUCUUGGUAUUAGAUCUUACCAAUAAUGGAAAAAA